UACAGAGGUCCCAAGCGUUGUUCGGAUUCACUGGGCGUAAAGGGUGCGUAGGCGGCUGUUCAAGUCGAACGUGAAAACUCGGAGCUCAACUCCGAGCCUGCGUUCGAUACUGGACGGCUAGAGUCUGGUAGGGGGAUCUGGAAUUCCUGGUGUAGCGGUGGAAUGCGCAGAUAUCAGGAGGAACACCGGUGGCGAAGGCGGGAUCCUGGGCCAGUACUGACGCUGAGGAGCGAAAGCGUGGGGAGCAAACAGG
This 253-nucleotide ribosomal RNA is filed under the name uncultured bacterium. Its description in RNAcentral is "partial 16S ribosomal RNA". It matches the Rfam family "Bacterial small subunit ribosomal RNA", at positions 524 to 776 of the family's 1533-position model. The record is from RNAcentral.